UGGGGAAUUUUGGACAAUGGGCGAAAGCCUGAUCCAGCAAUGCCGCGUGUGUGAAGAAGGCCUUCGGGUUGUAAAGCACUUUUGUCCGGAAAGAAAUCCUUGGCUCUAAUACAGUCGGGGGAUGACGGUACCGGAAGAAUAAGCACCGGCUAACUACGUGCCAGCAGCCGCGGUAAUACGUAGGGUGCAGCGUUAAUCGGAAUUACUGGGCGUAAAGCGUGCGCAGGCGGUUUGCUAAGACCGAUGUGAAAUCCCCGGGCUCAACCUGGGAACUGCAUUGGUGACUGGCAGGCUAGAGUAUGGCAGAGGGGGGUAGAAUUCCACGUGUAGCAGUGAAAUGCGUAGAGAUGUGAGGAAUACCGAUGGCGAAGGCAGCCCCCUGGGCCAAUACUGACGCUCAUGCACGAAAGCGUGGGGAGCAAACAGGAUUAGAUACCCUGGACGCGCCCUAAACGAUGUCAACUAGUUGUUGGGGAUUCAUUUCCUUAGUAACGUAGCUAACGCGUGAAGUUGACCGCCUGGGGAGUACGGUCGCAAGAUUAAAACUCAAAUGAAUUGACGGGGUCAUAGCUGUUUCCU
This 579-nucleotide ribosomal RNA is filed under the name uncultured bacterium. Its description in RNAcentral is "partial 16S ribosomal RNA". It matches the Rfam family "Bacterial small subunit ribosomal RNA", at positions 355 to 1375 of the family's 1533-position model. The record is from RNAcentral.